UGAGACACGGUCCAAACUCCUACGGGAGGCAGCAGCGAGGAAUAUUGGUCAAUGGACGAGAGUCUGAACCAGCCAAGUAGCGUGCAGGAUGACGGCCCUAUGGGUUGUAAACUGCUUUUAUAAGGGAAUAAAGUGAGCCUCGUGAGGCUUUUUGCAUGUACCUUAUGAAUAAGGACCGGCUAAUUCCGUGCCAGCAGCCGCGGUAAUACGGAAGGUCCGGGCGUUAUCCGGAUUUAUUGGGUUUAAAGGGAGCGUAGGCCGGAGAUUAAGCGUGUUGUGAAAUGUAGACGCUCAACGUCUGCACUGCAGCGCGAACUGGUUUCCUUGAGUACGCACAAAGUGGGCGGAAUUCGUGGUGUAGCGGUGAAAUGCUUAGAUAUCACGAAGAACUCCGAUUGCGAAGGCAGCUCACUGGAGCGCAACUGACGCUGAAGCUCGAAAGUGCGGGUAUCGAACAGGAUUAGAUACCCUGGUAGUCCGCACGGUAAACGAUGGAUGCCCGCUGUUGGUCUGAAUAGGUCAGCGGCCAAGCGAAAGCAUUAAGCAUCCCACCUGGGGAGUACGCCGGCAACGGUGCAACUCAA
This 584-nucleotide ribosomal RNA is filed under the name uncultured Bacteroidota bacterium. Its description in RNAcentral is "bacterial SSU rRNA". It matches the Rfam family "Bacterial small subunit ribosomal RNA", at positions 320 to 904 of the family's 1533-position model. The record is from RNAcentral. Lineage: Bacteria; Pseudomonadati; Bacteroidota.